AAGGAAUCCCGUGAUAACUCCUGUCCGCUGAUCCAAAUCUUACGGAUGACCAGUUAACAGAAACUUUUGAGCCCAAAACUGAACUAAGACCAGGGCCACUUAAGGCUGAUAAAUAGAAUAUCAUUAAUUUAUUUCCCCAGUUGUCUUAACGCUAAAGUUUAUGCUAUAGUUUAGUAGCGGACAGGAGUUAUCACGGGAUUCCUUUCUUUGCUGGUUGCCUCCUUUCUUGGUGCAUUUACGGCAAAGCUUACCAUGUGUGAAUAGAAGACAAUUCAGAUCAAAUUUAAGCUCAUUGGGAAUCCGUUGGUUGAGAUGAAGGUAUGCCUUAUUCCUGUCUGCCACUCCAGGUACCCAGCCAAUGGCCUUUGCAAUUUCAAACACAUGCGUGUCCACAGGGAAAUCGUCUAGUUGAAGUUGGAACAGCAAAACACAAGAUACCGUUUUGGGCCCAAUUCCCUUGAAAUGAGACAGCUCAGCUUUAAUUUCUUCAACUGACAAAUCUCGAAGGUACUCCAAGCAUAGUUUGCCAUUUUUCUCAAGCACUCAAUAUGUUCUUAAUGCAAGAAGCUUUUGUUGGAGCUAGACCUCCACAUCUUAUGGCAUUCUCUAUGCAUUUCGAUUCAGCAGCAAGUACAUCUUCCCAUGUAGGAAAAGCAGAUUUCAGAUUAGCAAAAGCCCUUUGAGAAUUAACCUCGGUAGUAUUCUGGGAAAGCAGGGUUUUUACCAAACCAUCCAAAACGCUUUCCUCCCCAGGCUCUGAUUUCACGCCAUUGUGGGCAUCACUGUCGAUUCCAGAGGAGGAUAAAUUCCGUCUCUGCUCUCGAUACUUGGCGAACUCUUGAGGAAAGCCGUGACAAGCCAAAAGAGAGUCUCGGAUAGCUAGGCAUUCUUCGGGAGUGGGUCGAAGGUGAGCUGGGUAUGGCUCUUGUUUUGUGGAAAUGCUGAUUUUGGCUGAUUUUGUUUCAGAUUCGCCUGAUUUAAGUUGGAACUGUUGCUUUCUUUUGCGGCUUUUCUGCAUUUUGCAUCUUC
This 1029-nucleotide unclassified non-coding RNA is filed under the name Hevea brasiliensis (rubber tree). The record is from RNAcentral. Lineage: Eukaryota; Viridiplantae; Streptophyta; Magnoliopsida; Malpighiales; Euphorbiaceae.